Long non-coding RNA from Acinonyx jubatus (cheetah), 9629 nucleotides. RefSeq lists it as uncharacterized. The record is from RefSeq and is a predicted model, not a curated record. NCBI's taxonomy places the organism in Eukaryota, Metazoa, Chordata, Mammalia, Carnivora, Felidae. The transcript has 2 exons.
GGGGACUCUUAAUCUCGGGGUUGUAAAUUCAAAAUCCCCAUUGGGUAUUGAGAUUAAACUCCCCACUGGGUAUUGAGAUUACAAAAAUAAAAUCUUAAAAAAAAAAAGGUGGGAACAGAGAAUUACAAGAAAUCACUCAGUCUGCCUAAUCUUGUGCCUUGUCUCUUUUCUACCUUAUAUUCAUCCAGAAGAAUUAAACAUGGGUGUGCUGCCAUCACUAAUAGACUUAAACAAAGGAAAACCUUCGAGAUGUGAAUCACUUUUUGUAAAAACUGAUUAAUAUAAGCAAUAUAGGUAAGAGAGAGUGUGUAUGUGUUUUAUCAGGAUAGUAGCCCAUUUUUUACUCUUAUAGAUGAGAGUUAAGUAUAGUCCUUUAAUGCAAGUUAAGAGUAUGUAGAGCAGUAGUUGCUUUUUUUCUCCCUUCUUACACUAAAGUGUUUUAGUGUUUUUUUCAGUGUGACUAGGCAGUGAUUUUGAAGGGAUAAAGCAGGAAGAAGAAUAUUUAUCUAUGAAAACCUGAAUGUAUUUGUUUUCUGAGAUAAAUGAAAUCUUUGGCUUGAAAAUUACUUUCUGGUAGAAUAUGGCAAACUGACAUUCCUUCCAGGUAAGACAUUUUUUUCUCUUUGUGUUUUGAAAUCUGUAGUUACUUUUCUUCAUCUGUGGGUACCAUAUUUAAGAUGAAUCAAGAUUUCAGUAAAAAUUGUUUUAUUGUUAGAAUGGCAAAUCACUCUGUAGGAGAUUGGAUGAUUUCAGAAGAGAUUGUGCUUACUACUUUGGUGCUCAGUUAGUGUCCUGUGACAAAGACAGAUCCCAUUCUUACAAAGAAACAAAUUAAGGAGGCUGGAAGAAUCUGGCAUUUUUCUCUUUAAAGUUAUAAGAAUUAUUAUUCAUUCAGCCAUUUAAAUAUCUCCUACAAGUUUGUAGCCGAAGACUAAUAAUGAAAUGAGCAGAUAAAGCAAAGCAUCAUCCAUGAAAACUAUUCACUUUCUCAGGUAUGAUAAAGAAAAUCUUCUCUUUUCAUUUUUCCCAGUUUAUCAUGAUCCUUACUGCACCAGUGAUCUUAACAUUAAGUAUCUAGAACAUUCACACACCUUUUGGCCUAGGAAGGAAAGUGUAUUAUUGAACAUCAAGCCAGUCAUUCUUACAUCUAGGUGUUACAUACAACCUAAUUUGUCAAGCAUUACUUUUGCUAUAAAGAGAACGCAGGAAAGGAGUUCUGCUUAAUGGGGGAAAGGGGCAACCAUUGGGGAAGUUUCGGAUGGAGCAUUUUCUUUGAGCUCAGCCUGUACAGCUUUCCCCAGGGCAGUAGAAGAGCCCUGGAAUCUGUCAACUUCAUUGAAGCUCAGAGUUUCAUUUUAUCUUUGAAACAAAAAUUUCUCUAUGUGUUAUAUUUAGACAACAUUUUUUAUUUAAAAAGAAGUAUUUUUAUAACAAUCAUGGAACUAUCUACAGGUCUAAGAACUCCUAGAAGAAUCUUUGACUACGAAUUUGACCAAGAACAGUGGCUUAUGCAACUCUGAAAGCACAUGAUGUUGAGAAUGAUCAAAUGGAAACAGCAUCGAACCCUCAGACUUCUUUGACUAAAAUGGUGAUGUACAAUUCUGAUCUGAGGGGUUGUCAAAAGACAGGUCAACAUCAUGCAGAAUUCAUUUACUGAGGAGGUCAGAAGGUACUACAGAGAAAAACAUAUUUUAAGCGAUCAAGAUUUAUUAUAUAGAUAUUUCAGGAAAGAUUUGCUCAUGAAAAUCUAGAAUUAUUGUGGAUAUAGUAAGUAAUAAAAAGAAACUCAAAGACAGCAUUAUAUUUCUUGGUGGAUAAAUGAGGUAAAAACAUUGGAUUCCUUUUACCUCUUCAGUGGCAGGUUAAGUUUUUGUGGAUCAUUAUACUUUUGUGUGACUGUGUGGAAGAACUUCCAACAUAUUUUGUGUUCUUUCUGGAUUUGGAUAACACUCAACAGAAGCCUGCUUUCGCCUAAAAUGAGUGAAUAGUCCUGUUCUAAAACUGUAUUGAAGUGUGGAGGCUUCAUAUGAUUUAUUAGUACAUAAUACUGUGUUUGACAUUGACCUAUUUGUGGACAAGAAAUAUUCAGUUCACAUUCAUUGUUCAUUAUUGUGUUUGAACCACAAAUAAAUGUUAUAGUUCUAGGGCCUGUGCUAGAACUGAACUGCCUGUGAAUUCUGCCAAAGAAAACAGCCAGCCUGGAUGUUUCAGAGCCCCUUAAGUUUUUGAGGGUUGGUGGAUUUUUUUUUUUUUUUUUUUUUUUUUUUUUUUGCUUUUCAGUGUGUUUUGUUGGGUCCUUUAUAAAUAUCUGGAGUAUUGUCUUAACUCCAUUUCACCCCUUAUGGAGAUGCCCUCAUGUGCCAUAUCUAAAUGUCGUGAAUGGGAAGUGAUUUUGAGACUUGUCCCAUUUUGUUGUGCCUUGCUCACCUGUGGAUCAUGAUGGCUCAGUGAGGAGAGAGAAAAGGAUAUUUAUUUAAAGCCAAAUGCUUCUCUUUUGCAGAUUUUCUUCACACUGUUCCACGUGGACAUGGCUUCUUAGCUCUACUAAUUUUCAUUUUUAAGCAUAAGAUAUUCCUUAGGCCAAAAUAAGCUUUGUAAUUGAGAUAAGUGAAGUUCAUAGUCCUAUUCUCUAUUAUAGGGGUCCUUCUGUUUACUACUGAUUUUUUGCAUACAUACUGUGUUUCAGAUACAUAUGUCUAAUCCAUACCCUAAAAGUUACUCAUUUCUCAGAAAAGAAACAGAAGCUUAGAUCAAUUAAAAGCUUGCCUAAGAUGACACUUUAGUAAAAAAAAAAAAGGGGGGGGUAGAUCAAAUCAUCUUAAUUUCGCAAAUGGUUUGGGAAUGAUUGGAAUUACCCUAGAAAGAGAAGGUUUGUUUGCUUUUGUUUUGUUUUGUUUUAGCACAGGGAGUGCUAAGUGGGAUGGUUCUGUUUUGAUAACCUGCUUAGAUAAAAUGAGGGACCAGGCUGGGAUAGGGGGGUGGGGUGGAUGGGGAAGUGAACAUGGAAAUGUAGCAUGAGGUUGAAGUAAGACAGCAAAUUAGAAGAACAUUUGAUUAAAGGGAGAAGUCACAAGAUGCAUUUAUUUUGUAAAAUGUGGUACUUUCACAUCACUCAAAAAAAAAAAAACCAGAAAAAUCUGUCUUGCAGUGUGAGCAUGUGGUACCUGAUAAUUAAUUGAUUUGUAAAAUUGUCAUUGAUAAAAAUUUUUGGAUUUUUUCAAAUGUAAGAAUUACAAGUAAAAUAAGUUUGUGCCACAAAACAACUUUGGUCUGAAACAACAAUUACACAUUAAAAGAGGUGGUGGGCACCAGGGGGCUCAGUCCGUUAAGCAUCCAACUCUUGAUUUCGGGUCAGUUCAUGAUCUCCAGGUUCGUGGGUUCAGGGUCUGAAUCGGGCUGUGUGCUGACAGCGUGGAGCCUGCUUGAAAUUCUCUUCCUCCCUCUCUCAAAUAAAUAAAUAAAUACAAAGGUGGGACAGGGUCAGAAGACAACUAAUUUGGUAUUGAGCGUUCGAAGACUGGGAUUCUGCGUAGUUUGACAGGAGGCUGAUCUGAGCAUCUUCCUUGGUUGUCAGUGUUCUCAGCUAAUGACUAAUUGCUGCUCUUGCCCAGAAAUCCAGAAACUCUGGAGAUGAGGAAUUCUUUUUGAAACUAAUUCCACAGUACAUCACCCCUUUUGUUCACCACCACACACUGUACCCUGGCUCCUCUUCCCAAGGGCGGUUCAUUGGCACGUCUGUCUGGUAGGGUGGCGUUUUCUGCAUAGUAAUCAGGCCUCUGCAAUUGUGACAUCCCUCCCCCUCACCCUAAACUCUUUGGGUUCUUGACACGCGGUGGCAAUGCCACUGGUAGAACAAAAAUCAAAAGGAGAAAAGGGAAAAAAAAAGUCUUCUUGAAUUUGAUGUGACUGCAUAGUUCUGCCACGUUGUGGUUAAGGAAACUCCUUUAAAAACUUUCUUCUUCUUCCCAGGAAGCAGCCUUGUGAACAGGCAGGUUCAGAAAGCCAGGGAGCCAACAGAUUUUUUCUAGUCAUUUACCAGCCUGUCCUACUUUAUACCAAGUGCUUAGUGAUCAGUGUGCACAUUUUAAAUGGUUAAAAUUUGUAUUUUGACCCCUUUUAGUAUGUGCUAAUUUGCAAAACUUUUAAAAGUUGGCUCUUUGGCCACUGUUGUGUGCAGUUUUCAUUUUUGUUGCCUGUGUGAUAAGAGUGGGUAGGGGCAAUGUCUCCUAAAGAUAGCUCAACAUGAGUACAUUGAAGGAGGCAGUGCAAGUUUGGCCAGCAAGUGUCCAUGUUUUUUCUUUUGUUAUGUUUAAAAAAGAAACAGACCCCUGGAAUAUUAGAAUAUUUAGGAGCAAGGUGUUAUUGUUUCUUAGACUCACAGAAUUUAUAACUAGACUUUUAUUAACUUGUGUUUUUUAUCUUGCACACACAAAAGGGCAUACUUAGAAGAUGAAAGAUUUAUCACAAAUUGAAAUACUAUAUAGAAGACUAAUGUUCCCUAUACUCUCUUCAGAAACUUGCCUCGCUAAUACUGUAUUUUCUGAUUCUGCGGUCAGAACACUGGCUCUAAUUUCCCUGGACAGAUUUGUUUCAGGCUCAAGAUAGCUGCUUAAGCAGUUCAUGUGUAUAGAACUGUGUAGAACAUGUAUCCUUCUGUUAACACUGAGGUGGCCAGAGUGCUUCCACCAGCUGCAGAGGUGUGUUAGCUGGACCUCGAGAUUUUUGCCUUAAUCCAGAUGGACAGUUACCAGAGGACAUGAUGCAGAAGAGGUUAUUGGAGGUUAGUUCUGAAAUGUCUUUAAGAUCAGCCUACUGUAAUUCACAUUCAGUAAAGCAGUGGUUUAUAACUGGUAAGCUGAGUAAAUGGAUUAUCUCUAAGCCUUACUAUUUUUAGCCUUUUCCCCAAAAUGAAUGGUGAAUUGUCACGUCUCUUCCAAAAGCUUUUGUUCCCGUGAGUGCUUAGAGAUGAGAUAGAGCCCCAUCAUUACUCCUAAAAGGAAGGCAGUGGGUGGGAAUGGUUGUACUGACUCGGGGUAAUGUCCAACAUUCAGAGAGAGGCCCUGGGAGUUAAUACUCUGGUGCCCAUGGACCUAGGGUCUAGUCCAGGUUUAGCUACUUAGUAGCGGAGUGAAUAUGAUAAAGCUCUGGGUCUUGAUCUCUUUAGUUUUAACAUUAGCCAAAAUACUGUCUGUCCUGUGUACUACUUUUAAGGUGGUGGUGACAGUAGAGUAUUGAGAUUGAAGAUGGUAUUAUUAAGAAGGAGAGGACAGAAGGCUAAAUAACAGGCAAGUGAAUUUGUUUCUCACUGUGUCUAAUGCUAUGGAUCACCGUAGGGUGAAUGUAUUUGUGUUUCUGGGUCAGCCACAUGGGACAACAAAGUGAUCUCUUAAAUUGGAAAGCAGUGUUGUUCUUACUUGGCUAUUUCUUCAUGUCACACCCCUUUAGUGGUGCACAUCAUGGUCCUUCUGUUGUAGCUUAGUACCUGACAGCAUGCAUAUACAUGCAGGUAAUGUGCCUAGAGGCUUUAAUUUGACCUGGCUGCUUUUUCCCUAGGCUAGAGUCCUUUCAUUAAACUCAGAAGAUGUGCGUAUUUGAUGAAAAAAUAUAUAUAUACGCACAUACAUACACUUUUAAAAAGAAAAAAGUUGGAGAAGACCUGUUAUAAUCCUUCUUAAUUUAGGUGUUCCUUGCAGAUUUGGUCAUUUGCACAUGAGCUAUUUAUUUAGAUUCAUUAAGAGAUUUUCUGUUCUUUGUUUUCUGUGUUUUGUUUUUAUCUAUGCUUAGGCUUUAUAGUUUAUUGCUUUAAGAGGAGAAGAAUUGGAUGGAUUUAUAAUUUAUUUAACUAUUUCUUUGUUGGAGAGCACUUGUUAUUUUUUCCCUUUAUUUUAAUAUUCUAUAUAGUUAUUGUUUUUAUAAUUUUAUUUUAUUUUUAUAUGUUUAUUUUUGAUAAAGACAGAGCAUGAGUGGGGGAGGGGCAGAGAGUGAGGAAGACACAGAAUCUGCAGCAGGCUUCAGGCUCUGAGCUCUGAACUGUCAGCACAGAGCCUGACGCAGGGCUCAAACUCAUAAACCGUGAGAUCAUGACCUGAACCGAAGUCAAAUGCUUAACCGACUGAGCCACCCAGCCACCCCGAUAAUUUUACUUUAUUUUAAUAUAAUUUUUAAAAAUACUUAUUUAUGUUUGAGAGACAGAGAGUGAGCAGGGGAGAGGUAGAAAUGGAGACACAGAAUGUGAAGCAGGCUCCAAGCUCUGAGCUGUCAGCACAGAGCCCGAUGCGGGGCUCAAACCCAUGAACUGUGAGAUUAUGACCUGAACCAAAGUCACAUGCUUAACUGACUGAGCCAAUCCAGGUGUCCCUGUUUUUAUAAUUUUAAAAUAAGAGGAAUGCAUCUAAGUGUUCUGUAAAUUGCUAAGGUUCUAACUGUGGACUCCUGACUAGGAACUCACAGUAAACUAGCUACAGGGAAAUUUGGCUACAAGAAAUGCAAUAGAAUUGAGCAGAGGAUUCCGUGUUUGUAAGUGUGUACAAAUGAGUCACGAGACUGGACCUCUCAGCUCAAUAGGCUGAGCCUCUUCUUUGUGCUCUGAGUCAAAGAGGAAAAAAAGUAAAGGACUGACGUGUGUGUGUGUGUGAGAGAGAGAGAGAGAGAGAGCACGCGCACGCGAGAGCGAGUGAGAGAACACAUUUCCAUUCUGUGGCCUUUACAAGUAGAUAUGUGAUAGGGGUAAGAGCUGGCAAAAUCUGAAGCCUAUAGGUGCAGUUUAAACAAUUCAGAGGACAACCCCCACAUGUUUCUUGUCCUUAUGCUUUUUACUUUUUUUUUUUUUGAUUUUUAUUACUUCUCCUGCCUGCCCCCCCGCGCCCCCCCCCCCCCCACAUUUGUGAUCCAAGGAGGAUGAAGACCUUUUUCUUACAAUCCUGCUGUUUGAAGCAUUUGGAUAAUUUUACAACGAAAUAAAAUUAUCUCUUUAAAAAAAUUUUUUUUUAAUGUUUAUUUAUUUUUGAGACACAGAGAGACAGAGCAUGAACGGGGCAGGGUCAGAGAAAGAGGGAGACACAGAAUCUGAAACAGGCUCCAGGCUCUGAACUGUCAGCACAGAGCCCAAUGUGGGGCUCGAACUCACAGACCGCAAGAUCAUGACCUGGGCCGAAGUUGGACGCUUAACCGACUGAGCCACCCAGGUGCCCCUAAAAUUAUCUCUUAAAAAAGAAAAAAACAACUAUGAGGCGUCUGGCUGGCUCAGUCAGUGGACCAUGAGAUUCUUGAUCUCAGGGUUACGAGUUUGAGUCCCGUGUUGGGUGGAGAGAUUACUUAAAAUCUUUAAAAGCAAACAGAAACUAUGGUGAUUUAUUUUGAAAUUAACCUGAGGGGAAAAAAUUAAUCUAUUGAAUGGUAUAAUUUGAGUGUAAUAAAAUUUGCCAUUUUAUGUGCAGAAUGUGAGUUUUGAUAAAGGUAUACAGUUGUGUAACAUCACAGUCAUGAUGUAAAGCAUUUCAAACAUUUUCAUCACCACCCCUUGUACUCAUUUCCAGCCAUUCCCCUCCCCCUGCUUUUGGCCCCUUGGCAACAUCUGAGCUGCCUUUGCCUUUUCUGGAAUUUUAUAUAAAUGGUGUCAUACUAUAUGUAGCUUUUUGUGUUAGCUCCUUUCACUUAGAAUAGUGCAUAUGAGAUUCAUUCCUGUCUUGUGUCAGUUCAUUCCUUUUAAUUGCUAUGAAACAUUCCAUUUUGUGAAUAUUCCAUGAGCAGAAUAUUUUAUCCAUUUAUCUAUCAGUAGAUGGACUUUUGGGGUUAUUUCCAGUUUUUUGUUGUUUUUUUGUGUUUUUUUUUUUUUUUUUUUUUUUACUAUUAUGAAUAAAGUUGCUUGGAGUAUUCACAUUCAAGUCUUUGGGGAUAUAUUUUUCCAUUUCUUGGGGAUAAAUCCCUAGGAAUAGGAUUGCUGGGUCAUAUGUACAGUGCAUGUUAAUUUUAUAAGAAACUGCCAAACUGCCAGACCACCAAACCAGCAGUAUAGGAGAGUUCUAGUUGUUUCCCGUCCUCUCCAACAUUUGAAUGGUUUGUCAGUCAUUUUACUUUUAUCCACUGUAGAAUGUAUUGAGUGUGUAAUGGUAGAUAUCUUAUACUUUUAAUUUGCAUUUGCUUCAUUAAUAAUGUUAAGCAUCUUUCUAUGUGCUUAUUUCUGAUUUGUAAAUCUUUGGUCAAGUGUUGAAACCUGCCUUUUUCAAAAAUAGGAAUAUUUGUGUUCAUACUAUUCAGUUAUAAGAGUUUUGUUGUAUUUUGUUUUAAUCUUUAAAUGUGAAGAAGCACAUUGAUUUUCAAUGUUAAACCAACCUGGUAUUGCUGGAGUGUAUCUGACUUUGUCAUAACAUGUUACCUUUUGUGUUGCUAGAUUCAAGUUGCUAAAUUUUUGUUAAGGAUUUUUGUGUCUUCAUGAGGGAUAUUGAUCUAUAAGUUUCUUUUAAUAUUUUGUCUGGUUUUGGUAAUCAGAGUAAUGGUAGUCUCAAAAUGAGUCGGAAAUUGUUCUUUCUUCUGUUUUCUGGUAGAAUUUGUAUUAUCUUUCCCUUCAAUGUUUGGUAGAAUUCAACCGUUAAUCCUUAAGAGCCUGGAGUUUUCUUUGUAAGGUUUUUAAUUACCGAUUCAAUUUAUUUAUUAAAUAGUGAGGCUGUUGGUUUUUAAAUUUUUCCUGGAGUGAGUUUUGACAGUUUGUGCCUUUCUAGAAAUUUGUCCAUUUCAUUUAAGUUGUCAAAUUUAUGAACAUAGAGGUGUUUAUGUUAUUCUCUUAUCCUUUUAAUAUAUGUAUGACCUGUAGGGAUUUUGUUUUCAUUCUUGAUAUUGAUAAUUUGUUUUCUGUCUUUUCCCUUAUUCUGGCUAGAGCCAUAUGAUUAUUGACUUUUUCAAAGAAUCAGCAUUUAGUGUCAUUGAUUUUUCUCUGUUGUUUUUAUGUUUUUAGUUUCAUUAAUUUCUGCUCUUUAUUUUCAUUCUGCUUGUUAUGGGUUUGAUUUGCUCUUUUUCUGGUAACUUAGGAUGGAAGGUUAGACCAUUUAUUUGAGACUCUCCUUUCCUAACACAAAUAUUAAAAGAUAAAUUUCCUUCAAGCAACUGCUUUACCUACAUAUAACAAUAUUUGUUUUUUACUCUCAGCUGAAAAUACUUUCCAAUUUAGCUGGUGAUUUCUUUUUUGAUCUAUGGUUUAUUGAGAAAUGAAUUAUUUAAUUUCCACAUAUGUGGAGGAUUUUCCAGAUUUUAUUUAUGUAUGUAUGCAUGUAUGUAUGUAUGUAUGUAUGUAUGUAUGUAAGCAAGCUCUGCCCCCAACAUAGGGCUUGAACUCAUGAUCUCAAGAUCAAAAGUUGCACAGGCUCUACAGACUGACAAGCCAGGUGCCCCUCUAUUAUUACUUUCUAACUUAAUCCUUUUGUGGUCAGAGAAUCUACUUUGUAUAAUUUCAGCCUUCUUAAAAAUUUAUGGAGACUUGUUUAUAGCCUACAAUUUGGUCUGUCUUGGUGAAUGUUUUAUGUAUAUUUGAAAAGAAUAUAUAUAUUUUCGGGUGUGUGUUCUAUAAAUGCCAGUUAGGUCAAGGGGGUCAACUUCAUUUGGUGAGUGCUUGUUAUAUUAAUUACUGUGAAAUGAAU